UCUGUAAGCCGUUGAAGGUGUGCUGUGAGGCAUGCUGGAGGUAUCAGAAGUGCGAAUGCUGACAUAAGUAACGAUAAAGCGGGUGAAAAGCCCGCUCGCCGGAAGACCAAGGGUUCCUGUCCAACGUUAAUCGGGGCAGGGUGAGUCGACCCCUAAGGCGAGGCCGAAAGGCGUAGUCGAUGGGAAACAGGUUAAUAUUCCUGUACUUGGUGUUACUGCGAAGGGGGGACGGAGAAGGCUAUGUUAGCCGGGCGACGGUUGUCCCGGUUUAAGCAUGUAGGCGGAGGUUCCAGGUAAAUCCGGUACCUUUUAACGCUGAGGUGUGAUGACGAGGCACUACGGUGCUGAAGUAACAAAUGCCCUGCUUCCAGGAAAAGCCUCUAAGCAUCAGGUAACACGAAAUCGUACCCCAAACCGACACAGGUGGUCAGGUAGAGAAUACCAAGGCGCUUGAGAGAACUCGGGUGAAGGAACUAGGCAAAAUGGUGCCGUAACUUCGGGAGAAGGCACGCUGACAUGUAGGUGAAGCCCCUGCGGGUGGAGCUGAAGUCAGUCGAAGAUACCAGCUGGCUGCAACUGUUUAUUAAAAACACAGCACUGUGCAAACACGAAAGUGGACGUAUACGGUGUGACGCCUGCCCGGUGCCGGAA
RNAcentral lists this ribosomal RNA (651 nucleotides) under Pluralibacter gergoviae. Its description in RNAcentral is "partial 23S ribosomal RNA". It matches the Rfam family "Bacterial large subunit ribosomal RNA", at positions 1240 to 1874 of the family's 2925-position model. Lineage: Bacteria; Pseudomonadati; Pseudomonadota; Gammaproteobacteria; Enterobacterales; Enterobacteriaceae. The record is from RNAcentral.